AACGCUGGCGGCGUCCUUGACACAAUGCGAGUCGCACGAGAAUGGGGAGCAAUCCCUGAGUAAAGUGGCGUACGGGUGAGUGACACGUGGAUGAUCUACCUUCUAGUGGGGAAUAACCCAGGGAAACCGGGGCUAAUACCGCAUAAGCUCGAGAGAGGAAAGCAGCAAUGCGCUGGAAGAGGAGUCCGCGGCCGAUUAGCUAGUUGGUAGGGUAAGAGCCUACCAAGGCAGAGAUCGGUAGCCGGCCUGAGAGGGCACACGGCCACACUGGCACUGAAACACGGGCCAGACUCCUACGGGAGGCAGCCGUGGGGAAUCUUGCACAAUGGGGGCUACCCUCACGCAGCCACGCCUCGUGAGCGAUGACGCCCCUCUCUGUGUCAAGCUCUUUCGGCAGGGAAGAUUAUGACGGUUCCUGCAGAAGCAGCUGCGAAUAACUACUUCCCAGCAGCUACAUUCAUACGGAGGCAGCGAGAGUUGUACGCAGUUACUCUCAAAAAAAAAAAAAAAAAANUCNUNUUGUCUNAAGUUUCGCCUGCAAUCUCCCGGCUCAACUGGGAGGGUGCGUCGAAUACUGAAUGACUUGGAGUGAGAGAGAGAAAAGUGGAAUUCCUGGUGUAGCGGUGAAAUGCGUAGAUAUCAGGANGGAACACCGGUGGUGUAGACGGCUUUCUGGACCGUAACUGACGCUGAGACACGAAAGCGUGGGUAGCAAACAGGAUUAGAUACCCUGGUAGUCCACGCCCUAAACGAUGCAUAUUUGGUGUGGGCAGUUCAUUCUGUCCGUGCCGGAGCUAACGCGUUAAAUAUGCCGCCUGGGGAGUACAGUCGCAAGGCUGAAACUCAAAGGAAUUGACGGGGGCCCGCACAAGCGGUGGAGCAUGUGGUUCAAUUCGACGCAACGCGAAGAACCUUACCUGGGCUCGAACGGCUGGUCAACGCCGGUGGAAACAUCGGUACCCCGCAAGGGGGUCCAGUCGAGGUGCUGCAUGGCUGUCGUCAGCUCGUGUCGUGAGAUGUUGGGUUAAGUCCCGCAACGAGCGCAACCCUUGUCCUGUGUUGCCAUACCGAAAGGUGGAACUCGCAGGAGACCGCCAGGGAUAACCUGGAGGAAGGUGGGGAUGACGUCAAGUCCUCAUGGCCUUUAUGUCCAGGGCUACACACGUGCUACAAUGGACGGUACAAAGCGCAGCGAACUCGCGAGAGGGAGCCAAUCGCAAAAAACCGUUCUCAGUUCGGAUUGCAGGCUGCAACUCGCCUGCAUGAAGCUGGAAUCGCUAGUAAUGGCAGAUCAGCACGCUGCCGUGAAUACGUUCCCGGGCCUUGUACACACCGCCCGUCACAUCACGAAAGUGGAUUGUACUAGAAGUCUGCACGCUGACCCGCAAGGGAGGCAGCGGCCCAAGGUAUGAUUCAUGAUUGGGGUG
This 1427-nucleotide ribosomal RNA is filed under the name uncultured Acidobacteriota bacterium. RNAcentral describes it as "bacterial SSU rRNA". It matches the Rfam family "Bacterial small subunit ribosomal RNA". The record is from RNAcentral. Lineage: Bacteria; Pseudomonadati; Acidobacteriota.